Molecule: ribosomal RNA, 429 nt
Filed under: uncultured archaeon
Lineage: Archaea
Description: bacterial SSU rRNA
Rfam family: Archaeal small subunit ribosomal RNA
Source: RNAcentral
UACCAGCUCUCCGAGUGGUAGGGAUGAUUAUUGGGCUUAAAGCGUCCGUAGCCGGCUUAGCAAGUCUCCUGUUAAAUUCAGCGACCUAAUCGUUGAGCCGCGGGAGAUACUACUAGGCUAGGAGGCGGGAGAGGUCGACGGUACUUCCGGGGUAGGGGUGAAAUCCUAUAAUCCCGGGAGGACCACCAGUGGCGAAGGCUGUCGACUAGAACGCGCUCGACGGUGAGGGACGAAAGCUGGGGGAGCGAACCGGAUUAGAUACCCGGGUAGUCCCAGCUGUAAACGAUGCGGGCUAGGUGUUGGGGUGGCUACGGGCCACUUCAGUGCCGCAGGGAAACCAUUAAGCCCGCCGCCUGGGGAGUACGGCCGCAAGGCUGAAACUUAAAGGAAUUGGCGGGGGAGCACCACAAGGCGUGAAGCUUGCGGUUC